RNAcentral lists this transfer RNA (76 nucleotides) under Planctomycetota bacterium. RNAcentral's name for it is "tRNA-Pro". It matches the Rfam family "tRNA". From Rfam's summary of the family: Transfer RNA (tRNA) molecules are approximately 80 nucleotides in length. Their secondary structure includes four short double-helical elements and three loops (D, anti-codon, and T loops). Lineage: Bacteria; Pseudomonadati; Planctomycetota. The record is from RNAcentral.
CGGGGUGUAGCGCAGCCUGGAUUAGCGCGCUUGCUUGGGGUGCAAGAGGUCGCGAGUUCGAAUCUCGCCACCCCGA